CUUUGUGCCCGUGGGUUUAGCAGCUCUCAUAAUAAUUGUUGUGGCGGUCAACAUGUGGAUGAGAGCUAAAGAGAAGAAAACACAGACGGAGGAAAUCGCUGUGCGUUAUGAUGUAGAUGAUGAUACAGUGAACUAUGAAAACAUCAGAUCUCCUGAUGGAGUUUGACCAACACUUCUGCCUCCAUCAGACUCCACUGAUCAACUCGUCACCUUCUACUGGAGUAGUUCAAGACUGGAAAUAACAAAAAGAAUCAUUAAGGCUUAUUUUAUUUUAGUCUGAUGUAUUUUCCUGCAUCAAUUGUAAAAACCCUUUUCUCAUCUGCAGCCAGUUGAGAACAGCAGCUGGAUUUGAACUUCAUUUAACUCUUGUUAACUUCCUGAAAGUCUUCCAGCUGCAGAUUUCAGAGCUGAUUUUAAGAUGUACUGCUUGUUAUUGAAGCUCCAGCAGCUUGAGCUUGAUGUCUAUGUGCAGAAUAACUGAUUUUAAUCCGCUUUCGGAGUCAGUAA
This 507-nucleotide long non-coding RNA is filed under the name Sander lucioperca (pikeperch). RNAcentral's name for it is "lncRNA (ENSSLUG00000004320.1)". The record is from RNAcentral. Lineage: Eukaryota; Metazoa; Chordata; Actinopteri; Perciformes; Percidae.